GGCUGGCUGAUAUCAGAAAGGAGGUGACGAACUCCCUCAUCAAUUGUCUCGACUGAAGUCAUGAUAUAUAGGUCAGUUGAUCAAAGUUUUGUUACUCUAGCUCCCUCUACUUAAUAUUCUAUACAUGGCCGGUCUCAUAGUUGAUUGUCAGGAAUUAGUUUCGAUUUUAGCUCGCAAUCGGGAACGAGACCAUGCAUCUUGGGUAAAAUUAUGUAGUAACAAACUUGAUUAUAUAGUUAGCAUAUAUACAUAAUGCUCAUGUAGAAUUAAGAUCUACCUGGUUACUUAUUUCAGUGGAAAUAUGAACUUCCUCAGGAUAUAUGAGCUCAUAUCUUGUUGUGUAAAAUAUAAAUCCAGUUGACAUGGCUUAUUACAUUGCUUAAAAAUUGUUGCAUCCAUUUGUGGCAAAAGAGAUAUACUGCAAGCAUAUAUAAUAUAUACACCAGUGCCGAUAAAAUAUUAAAUUGGUGAAGGUCACUAUUUUUGGGUGCCAGCCAGCGGCACCAUGCAAAGGGAGAAAAAGCUAAUGCCCCGUCAACUGAAACUGUGUAACCAACUUUUUGUUGCAAUCGUCGAAGGCUAUAAUGUUCCAUGCUAUAUAAACUCCAUUACAUGCCCCUGUUUUAGCGAGUGGAAUUAUUAUUUAAGCAAGUCUGAUGACUUCAUUAUCAUAGUAUAUGUUUCCAUUCUGUGAUGGAAACUUUUUAGUUUUGAUAUUAUAUUAAUUUGUUAAAAACUGAGCAGUCCAAACAUCAAUUCGACUUUAAUACACUAUCAUGAUCUUGUUGAUGCAGUCUUAGAUUUGUUUUUCCCUAUGUGUGUGUGUGUAAUGCAUCUUAUAUCCUGGCUCGCUCAUGUUCAUAAUUAAUUACUCGCAAUAGGUUUUGUGCAAUCAAGCUUUUGAUAACAAUCUAUUGAUGCAGUUAUCAGUUUUCUUCACUUGCCCAUUUGUUGCAGAACUGGAGCGAACCUGAAAUGCGUUCAGUUUACAGGUGUUAAAAGACAGCAACACCAGGAAGACACCGGAAGUGGGGCCUAUUAUAUUAAGCCACAAUUCACUAGUUGGUUAUUUUGGUUUCUAUUCUGCUCGAUAUUUAUAUAUACUCUAUCUAUGUUACUACUGGUGUUAUCAAAUUUUGGUCCGGGUGGGACAUGUCUGAACGAUUGAUUCAAGUAUUAAUGAUAUUGGGUCUCUCUGAACUUGGCCUCUUAACUCACAUGUUUUGCUGAACUUCAUGCAUAGAGAUCAAGGCUAUUUAUUGUGCUCAUUAUUUAUUCUACUGCUGUAGAUAUGAGAGACCAUGACGCCUACUGUUUAUUUUUUGUGAUUGGUUUGUGGUUUCAUCGGUAAUUUGAUU
This 1358-nucleotide long non-coding RNA is filed under the name Triticum aestivum (bread wheat). RNAcentral's name for it is "long non-coding RNA (TAES_LNC001165)". The record is from RNAcentral. Lineage: Eukaryota; Viridiplantae; Streptophyta; Magnoliopsida; Poales; Poaceae.